UGAACCCCAGCCCGGCAAGAAGUGGAGUGUGCGAACUUAACUGCUGUGCCACCGGGCCAGCCCCAUUGACCCGAGUUUAAAGGGCUAGAGGGGAGGAUAUCAAGAAUUUUGGGCAAACAUCACAAGAGGAAGGAAAUAAUCAUCUACAUAAGCUAGGCAGAAGCUGGAGAGGGGUGAGGUUAGGUGUUUAUUGGUCAGGAAGCUGUCAGGGAAAGAACCACAUCCCAUGUACCUUGAGCAAAAACAGGACUUGAUUAGCUCCUGGAAGUGAAGGCCAAGCUCAUUUUGACUCCAGGCAGGGCUGGAUCCAGGGCUCCAGUGGUGUGGUACGGGCAGGCCCCCACCUCCACCCGGUAGACAGAUUCUGUCCAAGUGGUGGGCAAGACUCGUAUUCUUUUAGCUCAGUGACCAGGGAGAAAGCCUUUUCUGAGAACCUGAAUUUCAAAGAAUUCUCUGGCCUGACCUGGGUCACAGGUCCAACUUUCUCCCAGUCCUUGUGUCCUUGGAGGAAUUGGAGUGUGCUGGGGGAGGGUCAGCUGAUGGAACCAGAUGGAUGGUUCACUACCACCAAGAGGAGUUCUGUCCCAGCAGACAGGGCAAAGGAUGCUGGACAGGCAGGGGAACGUGUCCACAGCAGGUAGUGCUGUGCCUAACCUCCCCACACCAUCUGCCAAAACCCGAGCGGUAUUCUUACCUUUUGUUUCGGCUUGACAACAGCCCCCUGAACCACAGGGCCCCCUGAGGUGAUUGUGGAGUCACGUGACCGCAUGAGUUCCUGGAAACCCCAUCUUAUAGCAGAUGUCAAGAGGACUAAGUGUAGACAGUUCCUUUGUUCCAAGGGAUUUGGAGCCGUGACAGAGUUCAUUGAAUACAAUGUCGGCAGAGCAAUAAGAGUGAGGGUACUGCUCUGCAGUGUUAAACGAAUGCAGCCUCUGGGACCACCAGGGACGGCUGCAGGUUGGAGGGAGUCCAGCGCUGCGUAGGUCACCACAGAAGAGUUGUGAGUUAACCCAGGAAAAACGCUGACCUGCUAGUAAUGAGUUACUUGUGCAGCUUCAUUUCCAGUGUCUUUCCCAUGUGCCAUAUGUGGUCUUCAGGUCAAUGGAAUAUUAUUCUUUAUCCCUAGUAGAAUAAUCUCAUGAACACUUUUAGAGAAUUGUUUAUUUACAGUAAAAAUUAGCACAUGUCCUGUGCUUGAUGUGCAUGCUUCAAAGAGUUCUGGGUGAGGAGGCACGUGGGGCUGGGGCAUGGACCGGUGGAGAGAAUGAGCACAGAUUACUAGAAUGCUUUAGAAAUCCUUUUCUGCUUCAGAUAAGUGGCUAAUUAAAUUUGGGGUUGGCUACUGGAAAAGCGCCAAUUAUGGAAACGAGCAUCUGUUGAUCACACUUUCCUUCGGAUGCUUGGCUCCUUAUGAGAGCCGGUUGGAAAGAGAGCAGGAGCCACUGCUAGCGCCACGACAAGCGGGCCUGGCAGGAGGCGUGAUUCAUCAUGUUUACUUUCAGGCUUUCAUCCUAUAACAAGACUAAUUCAGUAGAACUCAACUUCCAGGGAAAAAUGGACCAUUUAUUGUUUUAGAUUCGGGCUCAGGCACAGCAGGUGGAUUUUCCAAAUUGCCUCAUCUGACAUUUCCUAGAAAUGUAAGCUAACGUUAUUCUAUUUUUUGGCAACUGUAAAGUUAUAUUUGAACAUUCUACAAGUCAGUUGGCAGGACUGAGAAUUUCAAACACUUAACUAUCUCUCUGGAGCUUCAGCUUGAUUUUGUUGAGUGAUUUUUAACUGUGAGACAGUCAAUUUUUAGAUCUGAAAAUCAUCUCAGAAUAUUUAAGUCAUUUGCCAAAGGUCACUGAAUAAUAUACACAUUAGAGCUGGGAACUGAUGAAUAUUGAUUGGAAUCCAGUUCUUUUAUAUCUCAGAGUCACUUGUACAAAGCGACUGUGAUUUGCCAUGUGUGUAACUUUGUUUGGCACAUGGAAUAAGUGAAGAUUUUUGACAUCCAUCUUCUCCUUAUGGUUUUUCCCCCUGGUGCUUCCAGGGCUUGCUUACCAUGGUGUCUGCUCACCCUAAGUGAGCAUGGAAAGCUGCAAACCACAUUUACUCUUUUUCUAGAAGCAAACUUUCCUGCUGUGUGGGGCAGAUCCAACAGGCAAAUCCACUUUGCCAACAGUGAUGCCAUAGUGCAGGUAAUGAUAUCCUUUGAUCUUUUCAGUUGGAAAUGGUAGGCCUAAGCAAAUUAAAUCCAAGCGAGUGCCAUCAGUUAAUGACUUCUUAAUUGUUAGACAUGCCUGAUCUCCACCAGUUGUCUCUAAGACAUUACUUUAAUUCACUAUUUUAAUAAAUUUUUCUGUGUUCCUUUGGGGUUUCUCUAUUCAAUGAUACUUUAGGCUAUUUUUCAGUGUUUUUGCUUGCUUAUUUUAUGGGUGUCACAGAUUUCCCCUGUACGACUCUGUAUCUUUGGGGUUAUAUGCUAUAACUGUAGUCUUUUCUUGUUUAUAGAAUUUCUGAUAUUUAAAAUAACUCUUAGGUUGACAAAAGGCAGGCAUUUUCGGGGGGGGGGGAGGUGGUUCAGGUUUGAGUCGAUGAGUUUGGGUUUAGACUUGUUUAUUCAGUGCCUCUCGUACCUCACGCACUCAGAAAUGGUUUGGAACUCAGAAGAGACCUCAGGGCUAGAGACAGAUCUUUGAAAUGAUUGGUUUAUAAGUAAUAUGUGAAACCAUGAGAAUAGAUGUGAACAUCCAAAGGAGAAGGCACAAGCUGACAAAAAGCUAGUAUCAAGGGCAGUUGGGUGAGGUCUUAUGACUGGCGGAGAGAGAGGAGGACAGUGCAUUCGAGGAGGUUGGCAGCGAGAAGUAGAACUGAGAGGUUUUUUCAGGGCAGAGAGCAUUGACUGUGUUUCUUGGGGAGCAGAGGAAAAGGGGAGUUAGUGGCGAUGGAGGCACUGAAGAAGAGAAUGGGGCCUGUGAGUGGCCUGAGGUUUCAGGGUGGUGGAGAUGGCAUCAGGUGGGUCUGGGAGGAAGGAGGUGAGUGAAAAGACAAGUUAGGAGGUAGAGAGGAGAGAAGUUGAGGGAGCCUUUGGUCCUGAUGCUCUCUCCCUUCUCAGUGAAGCAGGAGGCUGGGCCAUCUGCUGAGCACAAAAGCAACACUGGUGGAGUUUAGGAGCAUCUUUAUACAUUAAAAUAUAUGGUGCACCUAGAUUUUGUGGAACUCACAUAUUACAUUUCCAUUUUGGAAUCUAAAUCAUUUUUCACUUUCUUCUGAAGGCUAAAGUAUCAUGAUCAAGAGCCAACGACUUAUACCAAAAGCCAUGGAAGUGUGAGGGUCUCGUCACUGCUUGUAAAACUCAUCCUGGGAACUUCUGAGCAGCGGAAGGCUUCCCUUCAGAUGUACAACUUGGUCUAACAUUGCAAAUCUAUGCAGAUCUGAUGGCCGGUAAAGAGCGAUGGCCGAGGAAUUUACGCUUUAACCAACCUGAUAAAUUGACUCACUCUUUGAGAAUGCUAUCUUCUCUGGAGAUAGAGUAAAAACUCCUUGGGGGAGGGAGGUCCCUUGAGAAAUGUUAGUGUUCCUGAAGUAAUAAUAGACCAGAAAGCCUCUUAUUAUGGGAUGAGUGUGACAGCUAAGAAACGGAAAGAAAUACAUGUGAGUCAUAUAAAAGCCUCAUUCCACGACCUUCAGCCGUUGUCAGUCAUAUUUGGGAAGACGUUGUGAGGAACUUCAAUAGUUUAUAUCUUGUAUGAUGCUUAUAAACACUCUACUUUAGCUUCGCCUCUGAUGAAACAGGAGACAAAUACGUAGCUUUACUUUCCUCCUCAGUUUUGACAAACUUGCUGCUCUGUGAGGCAGACACGCCUUUAGCAGUGUGAUGGGCAGUGAGGAAGGGACGGGGAGGGACGCAGGCUUCUGUGUCUCAGCGGAGCCCUUAGAAUUUUAAAAUUUGCUGUUUUCCUUUGGGCUUCUCACCUCCGCCCCAGGUUUCCCAUUUCGGGGCCUAACUGGGAGUGAGCCCAGAGCAGGCUCGCCCCACGCAGCCACGGAGCUCAGCAGGAGUUUGCCUGUUCUUGUCCAGGCUUCACACCGCACCCUGGGGUUGGGUACAGUGGCUUUCAAAACCUCAGGUACAGCCGGCUGGAACCUGUUUCUUCUUGGCCAGUGGCCAACUUUGAGGCCACGGUGCUGUGACUCUCCAGGUCCUGCUAAUUGGCACCUUCAGUUACACAUGGGUUAGGGAUGCUGGAGGGUGGCACAGCAUAGGGGGCACUUCAUCUUUCCUUAGGACAACCUAACACCGUAAGACCCUUAAAGAUACAGUGAACUAAGUGAACAAAUUAAGGAAAAUUAGAACAAGAAGAAUUGGGAAGAUUUUGCCUCUGUGUAAAAUUUCCCAACUUGUUCUUCUUGAAAGAAAGUAGCUAAGAAGCGUUUAUUAAGCGUUGGUCAUUUAUGGCUCAUAAGCUCUUUCUGAGACUCUGUACCCUCUCUGGCGCACAGCUGUGGGUGUGACGUGCCCUCAGACUGCAUCUAGUUUUCCUUUUCCAGAGCACAUGUCUCUGUCAGCUCCCGGAUCCUGAUGAACCUCUAGAAAAAGGAGACUCUUUGGUCGGACACGGACCCUGAGGCUGUUUCCCUCAGUGCUGCCAGAGGUGCGAGAAGACUCUUUUCCUACCUGAAAGGAGCACAGCUGUCUGCUCAGUGGGUCCAUCGUCCAUUGCUCGAAGCUGGAGAAGCAGCAGGAGCAUCCCAGAUGGGCUGAAACGCCCCGGCAUCGUCGUGAGGCCCUCGGCAGCUUCCUCCUGUGCACGUGAACGGAUCUGGAGAUAGUCUGUGAGCGUCUCCUUUCCUGUUUUUAUCAAGUGUUCUCUGUUUUCUACGGAAUCUUCAAACACAGCUUGUGUCUUAUUUACUGUUGGAUGUAUUAAGGACAGCGUUUUCCCACUUCUGAAGAGCUUAAAAAACAGGCCAUAUUCCUAUUUUUCUGAGAAUUUAGUUCUGCCUGUAAGUAAGAAGACAAAAAUAGCCUCCUAAAUCUACGGUCCUUAAGUUGAUCUUCCUCCUAGCUUUAUUAGGAAACCAACAGGACAGUGUGCAUCAGGGUGGGGUCAGGGGUGAGAGAGGAGGUGAAAGGUUGCUCUGACUUAGGUGCCUGGCAAGGCUUUCAGCCCCUGAGCCCAAGGACUUGCUGCAGUAAUCUAACAUCAACAGAAGAAGCAUUCCAGGACCAGAGAGCAGGGCCAAGUACAUGCAUGAAUCAGGGCCAUGGGUUACAAAUUGAUCUGGAAGUGAAACGAUGAGCCUGCACUAAGCUUUUACAGCGCUGGAUUCCAGGAAAUAAGGUGAAUGCAUCUCCAACGUAGUUAAUUUCAAGCUGGAGCUUUCAGAACUUUGACCCCCUUUCUUCUCCCUAAGGGGUUGGGAACAUGGUGGACGUUUGUCUGGUUCGUUCAAUCUCUGCUCAGCAUCCCCCUUGCCAUCUGGAGGGAGUUCCCUGUGUGAGUCGUGUUGGGGAGGUCAGUGCUCUACCCUGUCAAGGGCGGGCGAUCCCCGCUCCUGCCCCAGACAUCCAGGGGCGGUGCAGGAGCCAGGCCCAGCCAAUCAGACCCUCCUCUCCGGGACUCUGAAUAUCAGGGAGUGAAGCAAGAUUCAAAGAUAAUUCAGAAGCCACUUGUGGUGAUGGCGUCAUCCUGUGGGCAGCAGUGGGUCAGCAGCAGGGACGUGGCCUCGGCUAGGUCCUCAUGCCCAUCCUUUCUGGGUUUCCAGGGCAUUUCCUAAGCCUUGUUCUCCAGUCCUCCCAUCCAUCCUGGGGUCUUUUCGAUGACCUUCCAAUGCAUUCCAGCUUAGAAAGCGUUAGCUGGGGCUGACCUCUGUUGCUUGCAACCAAGAAUUAAAUGUGGCAUCUGAUGUUUCUGUGCUCAAACCUAAAGAAGUGUUUCCAGUGCUGGAAGCAGGCAGGGUAUGCCCCUCCACACAAAAGCAGCUGUACUUAAGAGAUUUUAAGACAAAUCUAGAGUCAAGGGUUUCUGGCACAUUCCAAAAGUGGACACAACUAACUUCAAGUAGAGAGAAAUUUCACUGAGUAUGGGCUCCAAAUAGUCAAUAUUCGCAGGUGUGAAUCGCAGGCCACAGACCUAGGUGGCAAGAGAUACUGAAUUUUUUCAUGUAUUUAAAUCAAUGUAAUUUCAACUUCACCUUUUCCUACAUAGCAAGAAGGAAAUGGAUCCCCAGGCACACUGGACUGCCCCAGAACCCCCUGACCCCAAGGGUCAUUGGGAAGCCCAGGGUCUCUUAGUGCCAGGAUGUGGGGGAGGCUCUCUGGUCAUCAGUCACUGGACUGCAUUGGUGACUGGUGAGAUACCCAUUGUCCUGGCCAGUGCAGUCCCUUAGGACCUGCUGGCUCUGUUUUUCCCUGUGGCACUUUAAGCAUGGAGAUCUUUGGCAAGGCGGAUGCCUAGAGUCCCGUCUUCCCAGACACACCAAAAGGUAAACCCUUGAAGAUUUGGUCGCCUCCGUAGGGCACUCCUAUGGACGUGGCUCUGGUUCCUGAUGCUGAGGAACCCACAGACCUCUGUCCCUCCCUCCUAUCUCCAGGAAUCUUUUAGUCUGACGGACAUUCCACUGUCUUCAAAUUUCCCUUACAGGACCUCCCCCAGCACAACCACCAAAUACACACACACAGACACACACACCAAUAAACUAAUGAAUGGCAUAAGCUUUUGAAAAUCAAAGUCAAGAAGGAAAAUAUCUCACAGGCAAUUGAUGCUUUCUGCUCUGUCACAAACCUGCUCUCUGCUCCAAGGAGAGAAGGGAGGGGGUCGCUACAUGCGGUGGGAGGGGAAUAAAAACAAAUUAAUAGAUUUUUCAAAGUCUUGUCAAUAACGUUUAAAAUGAACGAGGGGAGAAAUAAAAUAGAAUCCUGAAAAGCUAUCAGCUGCCAAAUAGAAGGGUUAAUUGGAUUUGUAUUUGGUGUCACUAUCUUCUGUGACUCCUUAAAGUUUCCUAAGAGACACAAUCUAUUCUGGUGUGAACAGUGUCACUCCCUCCUUUCUGACCCUAACUUUUUAGAGUCAGGAAUGAGGAGUGUUUCUUGUCUACAUUCUGUGAACCAAGUCAGCAAUUCUAUCUGUAAUUAAUAUGGGACUUCUACUCCAACUGGAAACACAUAUUUGUGUUACAAAUUAAAUAUCAUAUCAUCUGCAAUCAAGCUUCUUACUGAGUGCCAGGUUCCAAGUGCUUCUUUGAAUAGAGUCCGUUUACUAUUGACUUUCCAAUUUAGGGUAGCAAGGCGACUUGGGUGAGGUAUCUCUGCCAGCAUGUGAGCCUAAUAAUUCACUGGUACGUUCAAAGUAAGCAUAUGCCAAAAUUUUUUACUCAUUAUAGGUGCUGAUUCCAAAAAGCAAAGGAUCCACAUUUGGGGAAUUUACACGUCUAGUUCAUUCCACACAUAUAAGGCUGGAUCCUGGUGAAAUUGGUGAAUCACUAGGAGGGAGGGUCAGAUCUGCAUAAAACUGUAACCACUAUUGAGUCACAGAAACUCUGAUUGCGAAUGGGCUUAAACAAUAGUGAGACUUAUUGUUCCACUAACAAGGCCAGACUUAGGCUGGGUCUAAGAUUGGCUAAUCCAGGAGCUCACUGACAUCAUGGAAGACCCAGAUCCUGUCUCUUGUUCCUCUCUGCCACCCUCUGUGCAUUGGCUCCUCCACUUGUCCCAAGACAGCUCAGGCACUUCCAAGCAUCUAAUUGCAGCAAGAUUUCUAGAGUCAGAGGAGGGGAAUGGUUUCUUCCUACUUAUCUCUUCUUAAUAGCAAGAGAAUUUCUCCCAGAACUACACCCCGACCCCAGCAGAUUUCUUCUCAUGUCUCCUUAGCUAAAACUGAAUCAAGACCAUUCCUUCAAGGCUUGACCCAGGGUACCCUUUUCAUGGCACGAGGCCAUGGAGACCAAAUCUGGGCUUUCCCAAGGAAGGAAGGGGUAGAGUAAACAAGCAACCAGUAGUGUAGAUCCGCCAACUUAUCCCCCAAGAGCUUACAAAUGGCUUGUAAAUGUGUUUUGUACAUUUCCGCUCCUGUGUUUCUUGAGCUCCUCUCCAUUCCCUGGGCUCCAGGGGUUACCUCAACAGCCGCCAUCCCUCCCCUUACAGCCUCAAGUGUCUUUUCUCUCCAACCUGCCCCUGCCCCCCAUCACGUAUGCCCCCUGCAUGUCCCAGCAGCCUUCUAAUUCCCUAUGUAAGGAAGUGGAGAGAAUCCCUUCUUCCACUGACAAGGCUAGAAGAGAGCUCAGAAUUCUGUUCUUCAUUCAUUCACUUAACAUGUAUGUGUUGAGCAUCUCCCAUAUGUCAGCCUGGCGGGAUGCUAGGUGCUGAGGAUACAAAGGUAAUUAAAGCAUAUCUUCUGCCCUAAAGGAGCUUGUAGAGGAGACAAGUAACUGGGCAAACCAUCCAGUAGGGUGGUUGUCAUAGAAACCACAUUACGAUAAGUUGAGGCUUAGGGAAUUAUUGAUAAUGUGGUUCAGGGACACUGUGGGACAAAUAUGCAUUUGCAAGGUGGACUGGGAACCAAGCCACAUUGCUGGUGUUUCCAAAUUACUGGCUUAAAAAGCGAAUUUUGAAGAAUAAUCAAUUCACAAAUUAGAGGCAAUAUAAAGUGUUCCAUAUUGAGAGGAAAGCAUGGGAGGAGGGGUUUAGAUUCUUCAGCUUUCAAAGUUUUCGUGACUUUGUUAUUUAAUAAGAUUAUAUUAGAAAUAUCUCUUUUUGGAGUUUAAUUAGAAGUAAAUAUAUGAUGUUAAAAUAUUCUCUAUGAACUGCUGAAAGUUUCAUUUGAACUUUCAUCAACUUUCAGAAGAAACAAAAUAUUUCAGAAUGAGCCCCUUAAUGAUCUGGUCUCUCUUACUCGCGAGUCCCAUCACUUAUUUCUGAGGGUUGUCUAAGGAGCCAGGGAGACGUUGCAUGAUUCAGAGGCCACUAUCUGAAAACCAUCCUGGAUCCGAAGAUGCUUCCCCAGCUCCUCUUCAGACUCAUCCAGUCACCGUCUCCCCAUCUUGUCCUUUGCUCUUUUCGAUUCUCUGUGCACAUCCUCCUCUGGAGAGGGCAUCUACUUAGGUGAUGCUCCUGUCAUGACCAGGUGCAUUAUGCCCAGAUUUACAUUUUGGCUCUGUCUCUCUUCCAAGUGCUAAUCUCACAUUUCCGUAUGACUGACGGAUAUUUCCAAUUGGGUGUAUGACUAGUAAUUCAAAGUCAGUCCUCUCAAAGUCAUUACGCCCUCCCUCACCGGCUCCUUUUAUUGCUAUUAUUUAUCCAAGGCCAACCAGCUCAAAUCCCGUCUUCCCUGUGAAGCAUCUUCUGAUUACCUUUCAUUCAAUAAAUAAAUAUGUAUCAAGUGCCACUUAGGGGACUCGACCUAUUCUAGACGAGCGUAUACAGCGGUUCCUGUGGGAGCUAUAUCGGACAACGAGAGACGAAUCAUCUCAGCUAAAACUGAUCUCUCGUCUCUGAUCUUCUACAACUUUCAUUGUCUAUAUAAUAAAGACACAGCACUAACAAUGGCUCCCCUUGAAGAGAAUUUGCUGGGGCUGGGCCUGUUGUAAGCGCUCAACACAUAAUAACUCAUUUAAUCUUCACACCAUCCCUGUGAGGUCGCACUUACAGAAGAGGAAACUAAGACACAGAAGUUGAGGAGCUCAUCCAGGAUUACGAAGCUGGUAAGUGAUGAGUUUGCUUUCAGAGACGUAUAAUUGUAACAAAUUCUGUUUGGGGUAAAAAUAAAAUAUUUAAGCUUAAAAUAAUGGGAGUUUUAAUACAUCUACUUUUCAGUUUUCGCUACUUUCUCAACUACGUUAACGUCCCGGAAAAAAAUUAACCGUCAAAAAUACACUGAAACAUGUAUAUAGGAUCGCACUCUCUUCCUUUUGCCUGAGGCUUCAACGUGACGGCACAGCAUCGUUGCAGCCUGCCUUUAUUUAAACUUCUGCUAUUUUGUGCGUCGUGAAUUCUUUGCAUUAAUUUUGAUUUUUUAAACUGUUAUUUAUUGUGAUUCCAAGGUUGAUUUGGGCACCCUCUCAAACUGUGUGCUGAGGUGAGCAUCUUGCUCCAGUCCUGGCCUGGAGUGGUCGAGCUGGCAUUCUCCGGAGGCAAUCUGGCUCCAGAAUAAACCGUGACCUCCUUGAAAUUUGGGGAUCGCAUGGAUGCCCCCUUAUGACCACGGGUUCUGUGAGGAAUAAAAUGCUGCACCCAGGCGGACUUGGAAAUCACGCUGUGAUAACGAUACCAGACGAAAGAUCCUGUGAUCACCAAAACUCUGCAGCUAUUAAAAUCUGCCUAAGGCUUGUCCUGCUUUGAGGAAACGAGGUUUGAAAACUUGUGAUUUAAUCUCUGGCGGCCUUUCCAAGGGGACUGCUCCCAGCCUGUGAGGAAAUGGUCACCCUCUGUGUGAAAUACGUGUGUAUAUUUCGUAGAGCUAAGUGUGUAUUUUUUGUAGAUCUACAAACCUUUGCUCCAGAUGCCAAUCAUUUGAAAUAUUGUAACAGAGACUGCUCCUGCAAUUAAUUUUAUUUGUCCAGUAAGAAAUUGAAAGUUGUAUACAUUUUUCUGUUGCUCAUAGGAUCAGUUGAGCAAGAAAAGGCAGAGUUGAAACUGACAGUAUUAAGAUGUUAUCUCUCCCGCUGCCUGUUGCAAUAUUCUUCCUCAGACUCCGGAGGAAGAUGGUGGGAGGGGACAGGCAGAGGUGGGACCAGAAGAGUAGAGAAUCGUAAACUCUUCCUGGAGAACAUCCUGAGAGAGGAAGUCGUUGCCUUGUCCUGGGUGUGGCCGGCCUCACCUUCCCCGAGUCUGGGGGCUGAGGGAGGGCAGCGGCCAGCAACAGCCAUUCCUAGGGAUGUUUUUGCAUUCCAGAGGAGGGCAGCUGGCAGAGGGAGUGCCCAGUCUGUGGGAGCCAGGCCCGCCCCACCCUUUAGGCGGAUUUGUUAAUUAUUGAAAAGUGCUUCAGAAGCACAAGGUCUGGGAGACUCCGUGUGCCCUUGCUUGGGCCUGUGUGGGAGCUGGCAUUUCUGAGAUGCUGAGGCUCUUCCGGGAGGCUGCGGAACAACCGCGGCUCCUUCCAGUGAGGGGCAGCCUUUCUGGGUCUGGGGCAGAGACCGUCCCGGAGAAUGCUUACACUGUGCAUUCUAUCUCAAGAGAGAAGUUAACUUUAUUCUGUGACAGGAUUUGUAAAAUAUUUAGAUAAAUGAGCUGCACGAGAUUUUCGUUUUGUUUUCUUGUUUCCAAAAUUUUUGUGGUUUUUACAGUUUACAUUCGGGUCAUUUAUACAUAGACAGCAUCAUACGACAUGUUCUGUUUGGGACUUACUGUUUUUCGCUUAACAGGCUCCUGGAGCUCUUUCCGUGUCAGUACAUAGAGGCUCGCCCGUUUCCAGACUGCACAGCCGGAUCAGUUUCUUCACCUCCUAGUCUAUUGAGGGACACAUGGCUGGUUUUCCAUUUUUCACCAUUACAAACAGUCCUACAGCAAACAUUCUCAUAGGCAAGUUUUUUGUGUAUACGUAUAAAUAUUUCUGAAGGAUGCAUUCCCAGAAGUGGAAUUUCUGGACCAAAGGGCAUGCACAUUUGAAUUUUUGUUAAAUAAUACCAAGAUUCUCUCCAAAAAUUCUGCUCCAGUUUACAUAGCCACCAUCAUACUCAUCAACACCGGACAUUAUUGAUUUUUUUUAAAAAAUUGCCAGCAUCAUACACAGAAAAAACUAUGCCAUUUAAAAUUGCAUUUCUCUGAUUUACCCAUUAGGUUGUGCAUCUUUUCCUAUGCCUAUUGACCAUUUGGAUUUUUUUGAACUUUUUUCUUGAGGUGUAUAAAUACAGCAAAGAUACACAAGUCUUAAGUGUGCUGCUGACUGAAUUAACACAAGGUGAACUCCUCUCAUAAGCGCCACCCAGGUCAAGAAAUAGAGUUUUAUCAGACCUUUUCCCACCUCCCCCAGAGUAAUCCCCAUCCUGACAUCUAACCCCAGAGAUCAGUCCUGCCUGGUUUUGAACUUCAUAUAAAUGGAAUCAUACCACAUGCACUCUUUUGUGUCUGGUUUCCUUCGUUCAACAUUAUGUUUAUGAGUCAUUCGUGUUCCUGCCUAUAGCUGUAAUAUAUUCAUUUACAUUGCUCAUUAUAUUCCAUUAAGUGAAUACACCACAGUUUACUUAUUGAUUGACAUUUGGGUUGUUUCCAACUUUUAGCUAUUAGCAAAUAAUGAUGCUAUGAAUGUUCUUUUGCAUGUCUUUUAGAACACAUGCGCACACACUUCUGUUGGGUAUAUAUCUAGAAACGAAAUUUUGGAGUCAUGAGCAAUGUUCUGUCAACCUGGCCAAUUAUAUUUGUGAAUUUCCUAUGAAUAUUCCUUGUGCAUUAAUUAUUGGGUGGUUUGCAUUUUAUUAUUGAUUUGUAUGUGUUCUAUUUAUUCUGGAUGUUAAUUAUGUGUUAUGUCUGUUGUAAAUAUUUUCUCCUAGUCUUUAUUUAUAUUGCCUUUUAUUUCACAAAGUUUAAAAUUUUUAUGCAGUCAAAUCUGCGGGUAUUUUUCUUUAUGGUUUCUGGGUUUUACAUCGUGCUUAGCAAGUCCUUCCCUAUCUCAGGAUUGUCAAAUAUUCCCUUAUGUUUCCUUCUAAUACUCAUUUUAUUUUGAUUUUCACAUUAGGCUUUUUAAUCAGUCUGGAAUUUAUUUUGUGAGCGUGAGAGACAGAGGCUAACAAGUAGGGGAUGAGUAAAAUUAUACCAUUUGCUGCCUAGAUUUUUUUAAUAUUUAUUUUUUAAAAUCUCAAGACAGGUGAUAAAAUCGAAGAGCUAAGAAACUGCCAAGAAUUAAAAAAUUUUUUUGACUUCAGAAGAGUCUUCCCUAAGUAAAGUCUGAGUUAGAUUCUGAAUGGGGCAAAUGUUCUAAAUCAGUGGUUACCACCCAAAAUGCCAUGUGUGUAAAUGGCAUUGACUAUUUAUUCGUCGACUACGUACUGUGGAACUGGAAGGUGCGGUUCUCGUGGACUUCUGUGUCUAAGAGGAGGAGGACCGCCUUCUGGAUCUCAGGGCAGCCUGACUGCAUUCUGGCUCCAGGUUCUUGGGGCAGGAAAACCACAGCUGCUUCCUCCCUCCUGAGGAUCCCGCUCCUCCCAAUCUGAGAAGAUGCCCCAAAUGGACUACGAGCACUGAGCUCGUCCCCGGCAUGGACUGGGGCCCAGUUGCAAAGCCCCAGGGUCAGCUUUUGGUUUAGACAUGACUCCCUCAGGCAAAGCUACCCACCUGAGGGAAACUAUCUUUCCAGCUGAGGGGGUACUGGUUGUAGGGUCACACAUGGGAGAAGUGUGUUUGACCUCAAUUGUGCUCCUCCUGGGUCUGAAAUGGAGCACUGGCUUGCCGCGCCUGCACACUGGCUGUGUUCGCGUGCAAUCAGUUGAGCAUUCGCAGACUCUCCAGUUGCUCCCAAUGUGAAGCUGUUUUGUUCUGCUCGCCCCUCCUCUUUCCUUUGUCCUUACACAGUUUUGGGAAGGCCGAUCUCUUGUGAUUUAGCUAAGAUUUUAUAGGACUGGAGCUUGGCUCAGGGCAAGGAGAAACACCCCCCUCAGCUUGGCAAAGAGCUGGGUUGUAGGUUGGUGAGCUGAAUGUGCGACUGUGAACUGUCUGAGUUGGUUUGCUGGGAAAUGGCUCUGCUGGCCGAGCUCCAGAAAUGUAAUCAAAAGUGGCCUGAAGUCACAAGUUUUGCUGCCUGCAUUCUUCGUUUCACAAUUUAAGGGUUUGGCUGGUGCCUGUCCUGAAAGAAUGAAAUUUUCUACUGCGUGUAGCACAUGACACAGUGUGUGUGUGUGUGUGUGUGUGUGCACAUGCAGUGCACAUGGGCUUGUCUGCACAGGCAUGUUUUACAAAUGAACUGUUUAUACCUACUGGUAGGCAGUGAUUAAAGAACACAGUGUGUGGAAGAUUUUUUCUGAUUUCAGGAAUCGCAUAUCUGAAUUUGUGGGUUAGUGUCUUUGGAGAAAUGUGAUGGAGAAUCUUGCACAGAAGUGCAGCUGAUGCACUAGGUACAGACUCUUGCCUCAGAAAUGCAUGAGGCUGAUUUACUGAGGAGAAUUCAGCCUGCUGGCUUUUGGAGGAACAGGUGUGUUUGACCACACACUGGGGAAGUGAAGACCUGAGUUUUGCAGAAGUCAAAUCUGAGGCCCUCAGCGGCAGUUAUUUAUAUCAGAAUGGUGUGUACUGAAAGCUGAAGCCUUUCGGCCACCGCCGUCCGGGAGCCUGUAGAGAGAGGAAGGGCGUGCACUGAGCCUGGGUAAGCACCUCCUGCCCCAGGAGCGUCUGCUGCGGCUCGGAUCGCUGGGAAUCCACGCCGGGCUCCACUGUUGGCAAAGGGUGCUCACCAGCUCUGCCUCCAGCCUGCCUUGUGGAUGAAACGGCUCGCUUCCGAUUGGUUGAUAGAUGUGACUUGAUUCUUGCUUUUGUUCCCAAGAUGCCCUCCCCCGUGUGAGCAGCUUGGUGUGUGUUUGGGGGGGAGGGGAAGAACAGUGCAUUUUCUCUAAGGUCAAAAUAAGGACAUCGGACCCUAACGACCACCCCAAGAACACAUCAGGGACUCUCGUGUUCACUCUUACCGUAGAUGAAGUCUCUCGUGACGAGCUUCCAUCUUUAUGUCUCUUGAGUUCUAAAGGUCUCCUCCCCCUCACGCUCUUUUGGUUACGGGAAAUGAGUGUGUUUGGGGACAAACAUGUCAGAAUUAUGAGGGAGAAACUUGGCAGUGGAACAAACCACAUGAUAUGCUUGACGAGACUCGAGAAACAAUACGUCUCAGAUUUUCUGACAGUCUUCAAUUUUUGGUUCAGGAAUGUGACCCAGAAGCCGCAGAAAGGGAGGCACUCCUGCAGCUUCACUAGGAUCAUUAACAGUCAGUCUUUACGAAGGAGUCAACAGAGGCUAUUUCUGCACAGAAAGAUGAGGCGUCCGUAGGAGGAGAACUCAGUCCUGCAUCCACCACGGGCAGGUGGAGACUGCAAACGGAGGACUUGCGGUUGUUUGCUUUAAAUCAGAAGACCAAGGCGUUAGACGUCCAAAGGCAGAGGGCCCAGAACGAUGGAGCCGUAGGAGAGCUGGGCGGUGGGAAUCACGAGCACAUUUGCAUAAACACUGAGAUUGUUCUGGGCUCACCUAAUCCCAGUCCUCGGGAGCUGCCUUUUACGAGGGUAAACACGGUUUAAUAGUGAGCAAAUAUUAGUUCUCAUAAUGAAACCUGUUGAGCUGAACAGGAAACACUCAAGGGAGCCUGCAGGCCUGCAGCGAGGGUGCUGCAGGAAGGCACGGUGCGUGGCGUCCCCGUGAAGACAGGGGCAGUGGGAAAGUUCUGAGCUCGUCAAUAAGCCACUGGCCCUGGGAGAGUGUGAGAGGCGGCUGGGGUGUCGGCAUUUUGCUUAUUGAAGGGAGGAACGCUCCUCACAACUCUCUCUCUAUUCAUUCAGGACGUGAUAUUUGCAAGACUACAGCCAUCUUAGGGUUUCAGUCUGUUUUCAGCUUCAGCCCAGGUCUCACCACACAUGUUAGAGACAGGCGGUUCCAGCACAACUUAAGAAGGAAAGCCAGCCUGUCUUCUAAAAUCCAAGUUUGCGCCAUGGGUGCGUUUCUUCCUGGAGGGAGCCAUGUGACUUCUCCCGUCACACCAUCCCGCCUUCCUCUCAUUCCUGCCCGUUCACAUCCCUCAACCUCAUCCUCAGGCUCUGGUGGGAAAUGGGGGGUGUGGCUGCUCUGACUCUGCCUUGAGCUUCUUCCAAACCAGAGUGGAGACAAACGGGUGUGUAAGUCACCACAACCUAUGGCAAGAAAUGGCACAUGCCGCAAGAGAAAAAUAAACAAAGUGCUGAUGGAAAAUUCAUUUCAUUAGGGAGAUAUGUUUGUGCUGACGUUUGAAAUGAGCCUGAAAAAUGAGUAGGAUUGUGACAGAUGGAAAAAAGUGUCAGUGGCAUUAUUACGGUAUUGACGUUUAAUGAUGUCUAAAGGAAUCUGAAUCUGUACAGGACACCAGGAGCUUUUGUGGUCCUGGCCUUGGCUCACUGUUUUGCUGGCAGGAGCCCCCCAACGAUCCUUUGGGGGACCACCUGGCUCCCACUCUCAGCCUAAGUGGUUUGAAUGGGGCUGACCCUGCCCUCUGGCCCCAGGCUUAGGCAUGUGACCCAGACUGGCCAAUGAGAGAACCAUGUUCCCCUAGGCACAGGGUUUGGUUCAAGGGUGGGCAGGUAACCCAAGCUGGACCAGUCCUGUAGCUUUUUCUGGAACCUUGGGAAAAAGGCAUCCUCUUUCUGCUGGGGUUGCUGAGCUGGUGGGUUGUAAUUAAGGAGGCUGCAAGGGGCUGUCUUGUUACCACGGAGGGAGAACCCGGGCGACGGCGAGAUUCCUGAGCACCUGGAUCCGGUCGUGCCUGAAACUCUACUGUUGGAUUUUUCAGUCACUCAAGCCAAUAUGUCCACUUUUUAAUAAGCCAUUUUGUGCUUUUCCCUUGCAAACAAAAAAAGUUCUAACCAACACAGAAAUGUAAUAUGAUCUGCUUUAACAAACAAACAAACAAACAAAAACCUGUGGGGGUCAGAGGUUGCAGAUUCACAGAGCAGGUUCCUAGCAAAAAGGAGUCUUCCUGUCGCUAACAUUUUCCAGGCCAGCCUCCUGGGCCCCAGUGACUAAGAUGUUGGAACCUUUCUUCCUAAACCCCUUGGUCUGAGGCCGCUCACCAUCUAGCUGACUCCCGUGUGCUGGAUGUUUUUCCAUGAAUCAGAAAUGAAAUAUGCAGCGCUGUAGCCACAAAGUAACGCAAACGGCUUAUUCAUCUGUCUCUUCGUUCCCCGCGCCUUGCUUUUUCUGGGUCGCACGUUGUAAGUGAAGAGCCAUGAUGCUAAUCCUGUUUGGCUUUAUUGACAGUUGAAUGGAUUAUUGAGAAAAGCCUUUUAAUCAUCAGAAGCAGACUCCCUGCAGAAGAAUUGCAGAAAGAAGGUGGGACCACUGCCUCGAGUCCACUAACUCUCUGCCCUUCAGGAAAAACGCCGGGCUGUUUCAGUUAUGCGCCACAGCUGGAAACGCAGGAAGAUAAUCUCUUUUCUUCAGUGCUUACUGUGUCCUUUGUACCAAGAACAAUAGUUUGCCUACAUUCUGUCUUGAUUUUGCCAACUAGAGGUAUGUCCUCAUCCUGUUUUACGGUUGGGGAGUGAUGCAGACACCGCCAGUUGCUACCCAACACCCAUUUUCUCCUUGUUUCCUGCACGGAGACAGCCCCAAGCAGAUACCGCUUCUAGUUUAAAGUUUAGGCUCUCUGGGCAAUUACUGCAGACACUGAUCAUUUUGCAAACAUUUUGUCAUUUCUCUCCUGCAGCUAUGGAUGGCCAUGAUAUGGUUCUGGCCACUGAGACUUGAAUAGAAGUCUUCUGGGAAAGUGUUGCUUUCCUGAUAGGAGCACUGCCCGGUCCUCCUUGUUCCUUCCUUCUCCCUACCUGGAAUGUGAGGACGAGGCUUGUGGCGGAGCAGCCAUGUUGUGACCUCGAGGCAACCACAAGGAGGACAGCCAUAUCUGGAGAGUGGUAGAACGGCAAGAUAGAAGGAAAGUGGGAUAUUCUGACAUUGCAAAGCCACUGCUUCUGCCCUGGAAGGCCUACUUUCAGCUUGUUAAGUGAAAAAAAUAAACCAUUAUUUGGUUAACCCAGUGGGAUCAGAUUUGUGUUACAGACAGCUGAAUGCAAUCCCUAACUGACCAGGGAAAUGGAGCUGAAGGGGUUUAAGGGACUUGCCUGCAGUUCCUUACAAAAUGAUGCCACAAAGCUGAAGAAGACACAGCACGUACCCUUGAAGAGUUCAAGCCGAGUUUGGGCGUCAGAUACAUAAGGAAACAAUUGCAAUAUAAUGUCAUUGGUGCAAUGAUAGUGACCUGCCUCAGGUGUCAUGGGUGUGUAGGAAAAAAACAGAAAUGAGACAAAAGGGGAAAGGAAGUUAGCCAGGCAGAGGAGAGAGGUGGGCAAAGAGAUUACAGUUUGAAAAAGGUGUUUAGGUGCGCCCAGCACGGCGUGUGCAGAGCCACAAGCUGGCGUGAGUUGUUGGGGCGUGAAGUUGAAGGAGGGCAGUGGUGAGAAAUGCAGCCUCAUUUAACUCUUGCUGCAUCAUGAGCCACCCCCAAAACUUAGUGGCUUAAAACGACAACAUUUGAUCAUUCUCAUAAUUCUGCCAUCUGAGCUGAGUUCAGCUGGGUAGUCCUUCUGUUCAUGGACUAUCUGCUGGGCUUGGAACACCCAAAAACACUUUUUAACUCCCGUGUUUGAUGCCUUGGCUGGGUAAAUGGAAGAGCCGGGGCUGGCUGCCGUUUCUCUCUCUCUGUCUCCCUCCUCUCCAUGUGGCUAUCUCUGGCUUCCUCGGAGCACGGUGAUCUCAGGGCAGUUGGGUUCUUACAUGGUGGUUGGCUUCCAGUUGAGAGAAGCUGCCAGUGCAUGUGAGGUCUGGGCUCAGAAGUACCCGAACCUCACUUGCACGGCACUCUGUUGAUCAAAGCAAGUCACAAGGCCAGCCCUGAUUUAGCGGGAGGAAGCAGCUUCAGCUUCUUGAUGGGAGGAGCAGUGCGCAUGUGCAGGGAGAGAUGCGUUCACAGUGGUCAUCUUUGGAGACUACCUGCCCAGAGGAAAGAAGCAUGCAGAAGGACAAUCUUGUCUGCUUGUCAGGUAGGUUGACCCAGACCCAGGGGGUUUGCCCUGCUUCCUAUUUGGGAUCUGAGAGGAGAAUGCCUCUCAGACUGCCCCGACCCAUCAGAGUAAAACAGUCAUGUGAUGAGGCACAGCGAGGGCUAGAAUUUGGCUUCUCUGAACCCCCUUCAGUUUCUGUGGGGCGUGGACUGGACUCAGAAGUCCCAUAUGUCAUAGGAGAUGGCUGACUUGAGAGUCAGAGGGUCUAUCCUGGGUGUGCAUGGUGAAAGCCCACGGCAGAGGCUGGAGGGGAGACUGGCGGAGGACCCAGAGUCAGAGGGCAGGGGAUGCUGAGCAGGCUGAGUCCAACUGGGAGAAUGACUGAGCCCUGGCCCAGCCAAGACCCCAGAGGAGUUCCCAGCCACCCUGUGGCAGAAAUCACCCAGGAUCUGGAGGACAUGCUAUGGUUUUAAGCACCUCGUCUUCUACCCUCACAACACCCACCCGUAAGGUCACAAAAGACAGCACCCCUCCCUCCAGUGAAUCCCCCAGAUGCCAUGUCGCAUGUGGGAGAGCAGCGUGGGGAGAGGAGACACUGCAGAGCCCAAGAAUGUGCCUGAGGGACGACCGUGUCCAGAUGACCUCCUCAUGGCAUUUCCUGGACUGCAUCCAAAGUUACCCCGCAAGAGAGGCUCAAAGGAAGAACACUAAGUUACCAUGAAAUAAAGGAGCCGUGUUACAUAAAAUUACAGAGAAAUCGCAGGAAUGAUGACAAAUGCAGGAUAGCAGUUACCUCUGUGGGAGAAGAUGGGAUGUGCGAGGCCACAGGAAGCUUCGGCUAUUCUGGUAAGGUUUUAGGCUUAAAUUUCGGGAGUGGGUACCUGUGUGUUGUUAUAUUCUUUCUGCCUUUUUGAGGGUUUUAAAUAGUUCAUAAUGUAAUUUUUUUAAAAAGUACACUUCUGAAUAGAACUGUGAGCCCCCAGUGCCUGGGUUAGGUCUUGAAUGUGUUACAUGGGAAUGAGGACAUAGAAAGGGGCUCGAAACAGGAGGCAGAGCUACUUGCUAGACAGAUGGCCCUGGCUGGACUUGAGGAAGACAAGAGUGGAAGGGGAGGAGGCGGCCACACCGAUCCCACGAGAGGUAAUGGUGGCCUGACCUCCCAAGUGAUGCCCAGGGAAUUGACAAGACGGGGUGCGGGGUGGGCGAGGCUUCCGGUUUGAGUGAGUGGGGCUGGGGAGCCCCCAUUGACUGAGAUAAGCGAAUCCCGGUGGACGGUGUGUGUAGAUGGAAAAACAAAGAGUUCACUUAGGACAGGGUGGGUUCGGGGUGCCUGUGGGUCGUCCUGGUGGAGAUGACUGGCUGGAGCGGGGGUGCAUGAGUCUGGACCCCAGAGAAGAAGGUAGGGAGCCCCCAGCACUGACACAAGUUGGAUCCGUAGAGGUAGUGACAUGCCCAGAGGGGAGCGAGUGGGAGAGCAGAAAAGAGGACCAGGGUAGACCAGGCCCAACGUCUGCUCAGCCAGAGAAAGCGAUGCUCCCAGCUCUGCAGACACCCUGUGCCAUCUCCUCUGUGAGCAGAAAGACCACUACCCCCACCAGCACCCUCACCAGCACCCCUGCAGCGAGUUGCCCCACCCGGUGGUGGCCCCGUCCCUCCCUGCCGCUGUCCGUUCCACUCUCCACUUCCUGUCCAGGUUUGCCUGCCUGCUUUCCUGGGGCACUGCUUUCCUUUCUCUCCAGGAUUAUUGAAAGGGGCAGAGAAAGGCUUCCGUCCAUAACCAGAUAUGAAUUGAAGUCCUCGCCCGGGAAGUAGAAGGCCCAGCAGCCCGCCUGGGCCUGUCCCCUUCUAGGACAGAGCCUGGCGAGAGCCCGGACCUGGAGCCUCCUCUGAAGGCUGCGGUCUUUCUCUGGGAGAGUCUUUGUUCUGUAGAGAGCAACGAAGAAGGUGACAGGAGGAGAGCCGUGGAGGGGCAGCUUGGAGACCCCGUGUGCCCCAGUCCCCGUCUACUCCCUUGGCUGCUGGCGGCCCGCCCUCCUGUGUGCGCCAGGCCUCUCCUAGCGGACUGCCUCCCGCCCUCAGCUCCAGAUAAGCUUCAGGUAGUCUCGUAGCUCCAUCAGCGCCCUUGAUUUGAAUUUCUAAACUAUGGGCUCUGAGGAAACCCUAUAGGCCUGACUAGCUGCCACUUGAUUGACACUUGAUUGAUUCGACCCCUCCCUCUCCUGAAGAAAGAAUACAACAUUACUUCCUUCUAGAUGGGUUCGUUGGCAAUAACAGGAACACGCACAGGCUGGUCAGGUUAGAGGGAGUGUGCAUGAGAGGGGUACAGCCUGGCCGGACCCACCCUUUGGCCUCCCACCUCCCUUUAUUUUUUGUUGUAAGAAAUACAAGAUGGCAGCCUUCCUCUGUCCCUUUGACAACCUAAAUGUCUCUCUUCUACCCAGACUCUGGAAAUCUCUUCGUUACUUAAAAUUUGGAUUCUGAGGUGAAGUUUCGAUUCUGUGUUGGGCAGGGAACUGCUCUGAGCUCUAGGGAGAAAGUAUGUCUGCCCCAAAUUGGAAUUGAGAGAAAUUGGGAAAAGGCAGACAAUGAAGUUGCAUUUCAGAGGUAUCAGCCUCUCAAAGCAUUUCUCCGAAAGAGUAGGUUCCAAUCACGCAAUGAAAAGGUAUUGGCGAGAAUGUUAGAGGGUUUUGGUUUCCUAAGACGGACCCUAUAGUCAAAGGUCAUGCAGCUCCGUAAUAAGAUAAGCAAGAAAGGAAGGUUCUGAUGUAGAAAACACGCCAACAGAUUAUUCCAACGGUUGUGGCACCACCUCUGAGCCCUCGGACUGGCUCUCAGAGUGAUGGACUCACCGGCACCCGGGGGCUCGCUCGCACAAACCAUAACCUUUUGGUCUUAAAUACAGGCUGAGAAGGCGAGGCAGGUGCAAACAAGCAUCUCCAUGGUCACGAGCUUCCCUUGCACCUGUCAUCGCGCUGGCACAGGACUGUGCAGGGGAAUCAGGAGGUCCCUCGGUUCCUUCCUCUGCCUCCAGACUUUGAACACGGCCACUUCCGGCAGCAGGGCAGCCCUUCCCUCUCAAGGCUCCUCUGGAAACCUGCCCACUGCUUUGGAUUGUGGCAUCUUGAGCAUCUGACGGUUUUUGAUGUGCCUCCUAGCUCUCAGGCCACCCAUUGCUACUACUCCUAUUCUGGGCUUGCCCUUCUAGGGGUGCAGCCCUGCCCCAGACCUUCCAUCUGUCCUUCCUCUGGGCCAGGGGAUAACAGCUGGCUAUUGGAUCAAUAACCUGGGACAGGGCGCGUAGCUAGGUCCCUGAGUCAAAUGUGGUACUUUUCCCAGGUAAUGUAUUUGCAUUUUAAUAGGAGUCCCCUGGGGGGAGGGAGAGUGUUAAUUUAAAGGGAUUUUUCAGGCACUGGAACAAGCUGGUGUGUGUGUGUGUUAUGUGAGGAGAGAGAAGAGGAGGAGGAAGAUCAUGGCUGCCGUUUAUCAACGCAGCAAAAAGGACAUAGAGGAAACCCUUUGUCCCUCUCAUCCAGCGAUGACACUGUUAAUAUCGUGGUGUAUAUCCUCCCAGUACCUGGUGUGGUAGAGAUGAAUGAGCAUCCUCAUCUCUGGCAGUCAAAUUGAGACACUCAAUUCUAUAAAACUCACAAGCUGCAACACAGUUUCUAUGUGUGCCAUUUGGUAACACUUACACUCCUUGUUCCAGAAAUCCCACCUCUAGGAAUUUAUUCUAAAGAAAAAUCUAGAAUAAUAAUACCAUUAGCUACCAUGUUCUGAAUUUUAAUUGUGCACCAAGGGUUUUACACACAUUGGUUCAUUUGAUUCUUGCACCAAGCCUGCAAAGCAAUAAUGUCACCCCUCACCUGAGGCUAGAGAAGGAAAGGACCUUGUCCAGGGCCCUCUGUAGGAGGUGGGUCAGGAGCUGGGGCCCAGCGUGGACGAAGGGACCCCAGGAAAAGGCAUCCUCCACCUGGAUCCCCUCAGAGAUGAGUGCAGCCAUUGUUCCAGAGUCUCCUGUCCCCUCACCUCCCUCCCCAACUCCCCAAUCCCCCAACCCCUCCAACCUACCUCCGCAUCCCCCCUCUACCCCUCCCCCCCGCCAAAUGUGCAAAGGCCCUGAGUGGGAGGAAUGUGACCAAAAGUCUUGCCCUCACCCUCAGGGGUGGGGGGCAGCGGGUGACAGUGCCGCGGUGCCUCCCACCUGUCUAGUUUCAGCUCUUCUUUGACAGCUCCUUGUCCAGGAAGCCUUCGCUCCAUCUCAGACAGUUCUGUCUCUCCUUUGUUCUCCCGCUGUGGUGGAGCCACCGCACAACAGCUCAGAAGAUGCUCUGCGGCCUCGUCACAGUGUUUCGCACAUGUUCCUGGGAUCCCAGUCAGAAUUCUCUGGGGAGCUGUGAAAAGUGCCAAUCAACGGAAUCUGAUUCCCUGGUGCCGAGGCUCAGGACCUGCACCUCACGAGCCUUUCGUGGGCUUGGAGCACACUCGAGUGGGAGAGAAACUGCGUGGCUUACCUGCCUCCUCAGAGCAGGAACUCUGGCGGUGUCCUUUGUGUCCCCUGGCAUUGAGCACAGGGAUGUGCAGCCGACAUAAGUGUGUGUGAAUUCAGUGCAGAGACACAUUUCUCAGGAAGGAAAGUGGAGUGGGGGCGGCGGACGACGUGGGAUAACUGGGGAGGGCGUGAGUGGGAGCCCUUGCAGGAGAGCGAGAGAGGUGGGAAGUCUUAGGCUGAUUUGGGAUGCCCGCUCUGGGGGUCCUCUGAAUGCUGCCAAUAGAUAGUCAGUGAAUGUCUUUUCCCCUCCGCUUUUUCCGCAGACACAUACUUUAGUCCCAGAAAUUAUUUUUGAAACCUGAACUUUCAAUGCCAGAACGAGUAAUUGCAUAUAAAGUGGGUCACAAGGAAGUGAUAACUAAUGCACAGGCUAUUUUAACUGCUGAAUCAGAAAUUUCUAAGCUACAUUAUGAAAUAUGCAGGAAGGAAAAUAAGCAGAUGAUAAGAGUGGAAGGAAUCCUAAAAUAAUGUUUUCACAAACAAAUUCUGGCCCAACAUACGCCUGAGCGGUGGGAGUGGGGGAGCUCCAGUGACACACAAUGAGAGUUGAAGAACUGGAAUGAAAUUGCCAAGCUGGAAUUCUUUCUGAACGACGUAGGACCCCUGAGGCACGUGGCCCACACCCCACAAACCCACAGCCUGCAGGACUUUGGCCGUGUCGUGGGGGCACCUCGUCACUGCUUCACAGCACAGGCAGACAGGGCUAAAGAGAGCAAAGACAGACAAAGCCACAAACAAAAUGUAGAAAUCUGUUCUAUUGGCUAUUCCUCAAACAAAUAAAACCCAUCUUUUUGGUUCAAUUUA
Molecule: non-coding RNA, 23989 nt
Organism: Equus caballus (horse)
Lineage: Eukaryota; Metazoa; Chordata; Mammalia; Perissodactyla; Equidae
Source: RefSeq, a predicted model, not a curated record